UUCCCCUAGUAGCGGCGAGCGAAGCGGGAAGAGCUCAAAUUUAUAAUCUGGCACCUUCGGUGUCCGAGUUGUAAUCUCUAGAAAUGUUUUCCGCGUUGGACCGCACACAAGUCUGUUGGAAUACAGCGGCAUAGUGGUGAGACCCCCGUAUAUGGUGCGGACGCCCAGCGCUUUGUGAUACAUUUUCGAAGAGUCGAGUUGUUUGGGAAUGCAGCUCAAAUUGGGUGGUAAAUUCCAUCUAAAGCUAAAUAUUGGCGAGAGACCGAUAGCGAACAAGUACCGUGAGGGAAAGAUGAAAAGCACUUUGGAAAGAGAGUUAACAGUACGUGAAAUUGUUGGAAGGGAAACGCUUGAAGUCAGACUUGCUUGCCGAGCAAUCGGUUUGCAGGCCAGCAUCAGUUUUCCGGGAUGGAUAAUGGUAGAGAGAAGGUAGCAGUUUCGGCUGUGUUAUAGCUCUCUGCUGGAUACAUCUUGGGGGACUGAGGAACGCAGUGUGCCUUUGGCGGGGGUUUCGACCUCUUCACACUUAGGAUGCUGGUGGAAUGGCUUUAAACGACCCGUCUUGAACCACG
Molecule: ribosomal RNA, 572 nt
Filed under: Rhodotorula mucilaginosa
Lineage: Eukaryota; Fungi; Basidiomycota; Microbotryomycetes; Sporidiobolales; Sporidiobolaceae
Description: LSU rRNA
Rfam family: Eukaryotic large subunit ribosomal RNA
Source: RNAcentral